AUACGGGGGGAGCAAGCGUUGUUCGGAUUUACUGGGCGUAAAGGGCGCGUAGGCGGCCACCGCAAGUCAGUUGUGAAAUCUCUGGGCUUAACCCAGAAAGGUCAACUGAUACUGCGGGGCUAGAGUGCAGAAGGGGCAACUGGAAUUCUCGGUGUAGCGGUGAAAUGCGUAGAUAUCGAGAGGAACACCUGCGGCGAAGGCGGGUUGCUGGGCUGACACUGACGCUGAGGCGCGAAAGCUAGGGGAGCGAACGGGAUUAGAAACCCCGGUAGUCC
This 275-nucleotide ribosomal RNA is filed under the name uncultured bacterium. RNAcentral's name for it is "partial 16S ribosomal RNA". It matches the Rfam family "Bacterial small subunit ribosomal RNA", at positions 523 to 796 of the family's 1533-position model. The record is from RNAcentral.